UCCCUUGUGGCUCAGCUGGUAAAGAAUCCACCUGCAAUGCGGGAGACCUGGGUUCAAUCCCUGGCUUGGGAA
This 72-nucleotide transfer RNA is filed under the name Capra hircus (goat). It matches the Rfam family "tRNA". From Rfam's summary of the family: Transfer RNA (tRNA) molecules are approximately 80 nucleotides in length. Their secondary structure includes four short double-helical elements and three loops (D, anti-codon, and T loops). RNAcentral also lists the same sequence under 1 other name. Lineage: Eukaryota; Metazoa; Chordata; Mammalia; Artiodactyla; Bovidae. The record is from Rfam by way of RNAcentral.